RNAcentral lists this ribosomal RNA (1252 nucleotides) under Eysarcoris ventralis. RNAcentral describes it as "16S ribosomal RNA". The stretch from base 1015 to 1173 matches the Rfam family "Archaeal large subunit ribosomal RNA", at positions 2542 to 2701 of the family's 2987-position model. Lineage: Eukaryota; Metazoa; Arthropoda; Insecta; Hemiptera; Pentatomidae. The record is from RNAcentral.
AUACAAGUUAUAAUCUAGGAUUAAUUUUUAUAGAAUUAACUUUAUUUUUAGUAAUUUUUAAUAAAAAAAUAAUAGUAUAUUUAUAGUUAAUUGUACUGUGGAGGAGAUUUAUAUUAAAAUAUUAUAAGUAUAAUUUGUUUUUUGUACCUUUUGUAUCAGGGUUUAUUUAAAUUUAAUAAUUAUUAUUAGUUUUCCCGAAAGUAGAAGAGAUAUUUACAUUUGUUAUUUAAUGUGUUAAAUUUAUUGAUUAAAUGUAAAUAGGGGUUAUAUGCUAUUCAAUUCUAUAUAUCUGGUUUCUUAAUAAUUAAAUUUAAUUUAGGAUUAAAUUUUAAAUAUAUUAUAUACUUCAAUUUAUGAUAUAUAAUUUAAUCUAAAAUUUAUGGGGAUAAGCUUGUAAAUUUGUUUAUAGUUUUAAAUUUGUGUUUUAAGUUUUGUAGGAUUAAAAAUUUCUAUCAUUUAUUUUGUUAUAAUUAAACUUAAAUUAAAAUUAAUUUAAAUAAAACUUAAAUAAAUAUUAAGAAUAAUUAAGUAAUUAUUAUUUAAUUGUAAUAAUGAUAAAAUUAGUAGAUUAUUUUAAUUAAUAUAUAGUAAUUCGGCAAAAUUGUUCUUCACCUGUUUAACAAAAACAUGUCCUGAUGUUUUAUUAUAUUAGGUCUAACCUGCUCAAUGAUAAUUUAAAUAGCCGCAGUAUUUUGACUGUGCGAAGGUAGCAUAAUCAUUUGUCUUUUAAUUGAAGGCUUGUAUGAAAGGUUGGAUGAGGGAACAGCUUUCUUUAUAUUAAAUAUUGAAUUUAAUUUUUAGGUUAAAAAGCUUAAAUUUUUAAAAGGGACGAGAAGACCCUAUAGAAUUUUAUUAUUAUUAUAAUAUUUAUAUAUUGGUUAUUAUAAUAUUGAUAUUAUAUAUAUAAUUUUGUUGGGGUGAUAGUGAGAUUUUUUUAACUCUUAUAAUUUAUUUAUUGUUAAUUAUCAUAUUUAUGAUCCUAUUUUAUGGAUAAUUAGAUUAAAUUACCUUAGGGAUAACAGCGUAAUUUUUUUGGAGAGUUCAUAUCGAUAGAAGAGUUUGCGACCUCGAUGUUGGAUUAAAAUUAAAUUUAAGUGCAGAAGCUUAAUGUUUAGGUCUGUUCGACCUUUGAAUUUUUACAUGAUCUGAGUUCAGACCGGCGUGAGCCAGGUCGGUUUCUAUCUUUUUAUUUUUUAUAAUAAAUUAGUACGAAAGGACCAUUUAUUUCAAUGAUAUUGUUUUAUUUGAAUAU